AACGAACGCUGGCGGCGCGCUUAAUACAUGCAAGUCGAACGAGAAGGUGUAGCAAUACACUUGUAAAGUGGUGAACGGGUGAGGAAUACAUGGGUAACCUACCCUCGAGUGGGGAACAACCAGCCGAAAGGUUGGCCAAUACCGCGUACGCUUCCGGGUCUUCGGAUUCGGAAGGAAAGUCAUACCGUGGGUAUGACGCUCAAGGAUGGGCUCAUGUCCUAUCAGCUU
This 228-nucleotide ribosomal RNA is filed under the name uncultured bacterium. RNAcentral describes it as "partial 16S ribosomal RNA". It matches the Rfam family "Bacterial small subunit ribosomal RNA", at positions 29 to 247 of the family's 1533-position model. The record is from RNAcentral.